This is a long non-coding RNA of Thalassophryne amazonica, 127 nucleotides long. RefSeq lists it as uncharacterized. Lineage: Eukaryota; Metazoa; Chordata; Actinopteri; Batrachoidiformes; Batrachoididae. The record is from RefSeq and is a predicted model, not a curated record. The transcript has 3 exons.
CGUGUCACAGCUGUAAUACACAUAUUAUGACAUGUACACCAUUGAACUCUUUAGGAAGAAUGAUGUUCCAACUGUAUUGCCAAGCCAUUAUAAUAUAAAUAAACCUUUGGAAUGUGCAGAGAGAAAA